CGGGUGUACCGUAAAGUCGGUAACCGUAAGGACGCCGCCUAGGGUAAAACUAGUGACUGGGGCU
Molecule: ribosomal RNA, 64 nt
Filed under: uncultured bacterium
Lineage: Bacteria
Description: partial 16S ribosomal RNA
Source: RNAcentral